RNAcentral lists this long non-coding RNA (2757 nucleotides) under Homo sapiens (human). Its description in RNAcentral is "non-protein coding SYNGAP1-AS1:9". The record is from RNAcentral. Lineage: Eukaryota; Metazoa; Chordata; Mammalia; Primates; Hominidae.
GUCCUCGCAACGGGCGUCCCGGGGAGCUGCUGAAGUCCUCCCCGCUGCAGAGGACCGAGAGGCAGGGCCCGGGAGAGAACAGCCCGGUCGGAGGGGGUGGGCCGUCAGCCGCCCCGGAAAGCUGCGUUUCCCGGUGAUUAAGUGUAGCACCCGCCCCCGUAGAAGUUAACGUCCUCUGGGAUCAGAGAGAAGAGAAUCUCACCCCUAGACUCCUAACAGGGGCCUUCAAGCCUUUAACCCAGAGUGUCACACCAGGAAACCAGAUCAAAACAGCAAGUUCCCACCGCACCCCCAACCUAACCCUUCUCUGGCUUCACCUGUGUAUAUUCCUUGCCCAUCCCACCCUCCUCCUCUUGAAACCCCCUCCCACCCAUCCCCAAUCCGAGGUGGGAACUUCAUGUUGAGGAAUAAGGGGAGGCAGUACAGCAAAACCUCAUUAAUCCAAACCCCUGUGGAUUUGGAAUUUCUUCAUAAUCUGAAGAAAAACUGAGCUUGCAUUUUCCUUUAUCUGUGAAGAAAAGGUGUACUAAGCAAAUUAGUGGUGGAAAUAUGUCUGUAGGAGGGGAUAUUUAACCCAUACCAGAAAACAGACUUUUGAAUCCUAUCUAUUCAUUAAUGCAUGCUCCCUGAGGAGUGGAAAAAGCCUUGUUCAUCGAGUUCUGUAUAUAUUUUGAAGACAUGCAUUUCAUUAAAUAGACACUGUCAUUCCGUUUGUCACUUAUUCACAGUGGCCAUCUUCUCAAAUAUAACAUUCCAAAUUAGAGAGAGGUUUAACUGUACUGGGGGGAAAGGAAGGGGAUUCAGGGAAGUGAUAUGGGAAGGGAAAAAUCUUGUGGGAGGGCUGCCCCUCUCUCUCACAAUUAUGGCGGAAAUGACUAGGAGCUUCUGCAGACACAGCAUGCCCCAAUCUCUGCAUCCCUGGGAAGCAGAAACUGGCUUUAUUCUUUUCCACUCCCAUCUUCUUUUCAGUCCUUCUCCCUGGGCUCCCAAUUAGAGGGUGAGGGGUACCAGACCAGCUCCUACCCCUGGUUCUACUCUCAUCACCUCCUAUAGCUCCUUGACCAACUCCUGGUUCCUGCCCUUAGCUCCGCCUUCUGUUCCUCUGCUGGGAGAAAAGAAAGCCAUCUGAAUUUCCCUACGCUUCUGGUUGGGAAAUUCACUUCCUUCUCUCUUUGGCUGUUGUAAUUAUCUGGGGUUUGUACUGUACAUGUCCGUGUGUGUGUGUGUGGGCUGGGGGCAACACUUGGCUUUUUAAAAUUCAGGCUCAAAACUAAUUUCUAAUUAAUGGCUGAGUUGCAGAGAGACCAAUACCUACCACAAGUGGUUUAGAACAAAUGUCCAAAUUAUUUCCUGGGCCACAUGGCAUUUAGGCUUGGUAAUAUAGCUAUGUCUGACCUUAGGAUACAAAACCUUCCAAGUAAAAGCUUCUAUAUAAGCUCUCCCUUCCAUCCUAGGAUCAAGGAGCUAACCUCUCAGAUCACCCAAACCCCAGCCUUGGGUAUGAGAUACCCAGCAAAACUGCCUUCUUAGCUUGCUGGGUAUCUCACACAUUUUCUGCAAGUCAGUGAGAGGAAAUCACUUAUGGUAGGGUAUCCUGAGUAUGGCGGGAGAGCAGGGAAGGAACCCCCAGAUUCCAUUCCCUCUGUUUGUCUGCUGGUGACAGCACAUAAGCAUGCCCUGGACACCCCCAUGGACCCAAAUUUAGAAAGUGGAUAAAUUAGGGUGCCAUUAUUCAUUUUACAAAAGAAUUCACUGCAGGAGUCCUUUAAAUGGCAAAGUCCCCUGGUGCCUUUUAGCAUCUUUAUAGAUCACCAGCUACUUUGACAGAGAGGCUGGGCAGGCAGAGAAUUAAAAUUACAGUGUAAGGAGCCACUGCCCACUGCAGCUCAAUCCCAAAGAAAAUCGCAUCUCAGAAAUGAUGGCUAUAGCUGACAGGUUCUCAUUUACUGGCUUUUUAGGUAGGGUGAUGUGUCCGGCAAGGCCACUCGAUGGCAGGAGAGGGGGAGUGAGUGGCAUCAGCAACCUGGGGAUGUGAGCUGUGAAGAGUACAUUCUUUACCAUGCUGUUCCUGGCACCUCUCCCUGGGAAUCAACAUGCCUACUGAGCCCACGAUCUGAUCUAGGAGGAUGUCUCUCCCCAUUUCUAAACUCCCAGGCCACAUGAUCAAGUCCAUGUCCUAACAUCUGCCUGAGGUUCCUUUCUUGCUCCUUCUUGUUCCAUCCACCCUGCCUAAUGUCAGGACAUCUCAAUAGCAUUUUUUCCAGGGUAUCUCAAGUCUCCCUGAGUUAACUACCCACUCCUAAUUCCCACCCAAUGGGGGCUAAUAUGAGCUUCAGAUGCCUUCUGCCUCACAGAUAUAAGGAGGAGGAAGAGAGAGAAUCAGGUGAGGAGUGGAAAGGAGGGUAGAGAACCAAGAUUAGGGAAGGAAGAGGGAAACCCAACCUACCUGCUGCAGUCAGCACAGCCCCUAUAGCCAAGAUCCUCCAACCCAUCAUUGCCUCCACCCCAUUAACAAACCCACCCCCAGCCCCUAAGGACGCUCUGGUGAAAUGGGGGGUGACAGACAUACACUGGAGAGGUAGAGGAAGAGGAGGGCUUAGAGUCAGGAGGAGGCUGGGAGGGGGUGGGUUUUGCAGGGAAGUGGGUGUGACCUGUGAAUGUGCUGGGCCCAUCUAGGGCCCAACUCUUGGUGUUGCUAAGGUAUUGUUGGACAGUUCUGGGAAGCAGCAGCAAAUGCUCUCUUUGGGUGGUGUCUUG